UACGUAGGAUGCAAGCGUUAUCCGGAAUUACUGGGCGUAAAGCGUGUGUAGGUGGUUUGUUAAGUUGAAUGUUAAAUCUACGGGCUCAACUCGUGGGCUGCAUUCAAUACUGGCAGACUUGAGGAUGGAAGAGGUAAGCGGAAUUAGUAGUGGAGCGGUGAAAUGCGUAGAGAUUACUAAGAACACCAAUGGCGAAGGCAGCUUACUGGGCCACUCCUGACACUGAGACACGAAAGCGUGGGGAGCGAACAGG
Molecule: ribosomal RNA, 253 nt
Filed under: uncultured bacterium
Lineage: Bacteria
Description: partial 16S ribosomal RNA
Rfam family: Bacterial small subunit ribosomal RNA
Source: RNAcentral